GACGAACGCUGGCGGCGUGCUUAACACAUGCAAGUCGAACGGAAAGGCCCUGCUUUUGUGGGGUGCUCGAGUGGCGAACGGGUGAGUAACACGUGAGUAACCUGCCCUUGACUUUGGGAUAACUUCAGGAAACUGGGGCUAAUACCGGAUAGGAGCUCCUGCUGCAUGGUGGGGGUUGGAAAGUUUCGGCGGUUGGGGAUGGACUCGCGGCUUAUCAGCUUGUUGGUGGGGUAGUGGCUUACCAAGGCUUUGACGGGUAGCCGGCCUGAGAGGGUGACCGGCCCCCUUGGGCCUGUGAUACGGCCCAGGAUCCAUCGGGAGGCAGCGGUGGGGAAUAUUGCACAAUGGGCGGAAGCCUGAUGCAGCAACGCCGCGUGCGGGAUGACGGCCUUCGGGUUGUAAACCGCUUCCGCCUGUGACGAAGCGUGAGUGACGGUAAUGGGUAAAGAAGCACCGGCUAACUACGUG
Molecule: ribosomal RNA, 468 nt
Filed under: uncultured bacterium
Lineage: Bacteria
Description: partial 16S ribosomal RNA
Rfam family: Bacterial small subunit ribosomal RNA
Source: RNAcentral